RNAcentral lists this ribosomal RNA (1343 nucleotides) under uncultured bacterium. RNAcentral describes it as "16S ribosomal RNA". It matches the Rfam family "Bacterial small subunit ribosomal RNA", at positions 28 to 1378 of the family's 1533-position model. The record is from RNAcentral.
GACGAACGCUGGUGGCGUGCUUAACACAUGCAAGUCGAACGGAAAGGCCCUGCUUUUGUGGGGUGCUCGAGUGGCGAACGGGUGAGUAACACGUGAGUAACCUGCCCUUGACUUUGGGAUAACUUCAGGAAACUGGGGCUAAUACCGGAUAGGAGCUCCUGCUGCAUGGUGGGGGUUGGAAAGUUUCGGCGGUUGGGGAUGGACUCGCGGCUUAUCAGCUUGUUGGUGGGGUAGUGGCUUACCAAGGCUUUGACGGGUAGCCGGCCUGAGAGGGUGACCGGCCACAUUGGGACUGAGAUACGGCCCAGACUCCUACGGGAGGCAGCAGUGGGGAAUAUUGCACAAUGGGCGGAAGCCUGAUGCAGCAACGCCGCGUGCGGGAUGACGGCCUUCGGGUUGUAAACCGCUUUCGCCUGUGACGAAGCGUGAGUGACGGUAAUGGGUAAAGAAGCACCGGCUAACUACGUGCCAGCAGCCGCGGUGAUACGUAGGGUGCGAGCGUUGUCCGGAUUUAUUGGGCGUAAGGGGCUCGUAGGUGGUUGAUCGCGUCGGAAGUGUAAUCUUGGGGCUUAACCCUGAGCGUGCUUUCGAUACGGGUUGACUUGAGGAAGGUAGGGGAGAAUGGAAUUCCUGGUGGAGCGGUGGAAUGCGCAGAUAUCAGGAGGAACACCAGUGGCGAAGGCGGUUCUCUGGGCCUUUCCUGACGCUGAGGAGCGAAAGCGUGGGGAGCGAACAGGCUUAGAUACCCUGGUAGUCCACGCUGUAAACGGUGGGUACUAGGUGUGGGGUCCAUUCCACGGGUUCCGUGCCGUAGCUAACGCUUUAAGUACCCCGCCUGGGGAGUACGGCCGCAAGGCUAAAACUCAAAGGAAUUGACGGGGCCCCGCACAAGCGGCGGAGCAUGCGGAUUAAUUCGAUGCAACGCGUAGAACCUUACCUGGGUUUGACAUGGAUCGGGAGUGCUCAGAGAUGGGUGUGCCUCUUUUGGGGUCGGUUCACAGGUGGUGCAUGGCUGUCGUCAGCUCGUGUCGUGAGAUGUUGGGUUAAGUCCCGCAACGAGCGCAACCCUUGUUCACUGUUGCCAGCACGUUAUGGUGGGGACUCAGUGGAGACCGCCGGGGUCAACUCGGAGGAAGGUGGGGAUGACGUCAAGUCAUCAUGCCCCUUAUGUCCAGGGCUUCACGCAUGCUACAAUGGCUGGUACAGAGAGUGGCGAGCCUGUGAGGGUGAGCGAAUCUCGGAAAGCCGGUCUCAGUUCGGAUUGGGGUCUGCAACUCGACCUCAUGAAGUCGGAGUCGCUAGUAAUCGCAGAUCAGCAACGCUGCGAUGAAUACGUUCCCGGG